GACGAACGCUGGCGGCGUGCUUAACACAUGCCAGUCGAACGGAAAGGCCCUGCUUUUGUGGGGUGCUCGAGUGGCGAACGGGUGAGUAACACGUGAGUAACCUGCCCUUGACUUUGGGAUAACUUCAGGAAACUGGGGCUAAUACCGGAUAGGAGCUCCUGCUGCAUGGUGGGGGUUGGAAAGUUUCGGCGGUUGGGGAUGGACUCGCGGCUUAUCAGCUUGUUGGUGGGGUAGUGGCUUACCAAGGCUUUGACGGGUAGCCGGCCUGAGACGGUGACCGGCCACAUUGGGACUGAGAUACGGCCCAGACUCCUACGGGAGGCAGCAGUGGGGAAUAUUGCACAAUGGGCGGAAGCCUGAUGCAGCAACGCCGCGUGCGGGAUGACGGCCUUCGGGUUGUAAACCGCUUUCGCCUGUGACGAAGCGUGAGUGACGGUAAUGGGUAAAGAAGCACCGGCUAACUACGUG
This 468-nucleotide ribosomal RNA is filed under the name uncultured bacterium. RNAcentral's name for it is "partial 16S ribosomal RNA". It matches the Rfam family "Bacterial small subunit ribosomal RNA", at positions 28 to 507 of the family's 1533-position model. The record is from RNAcentral.